Molecule: ribosomal RNA, 392 nt
Filed under: Staphylococcus pseudintermedius
Lineage: Bacteria; Bacillati; Bacillota; Bacilli; Caryophanales; Staphylococcaceae
Description: bacterial SSU rRNA
Rfam family: Bacterial small subunit ribosomal RNA
Source: RNAcentral
UUUAUGGAGAGUUUGAUCCUGGCUCAGGAUGAACGCUGGCGGCGUGCCUAAUACAUGCAAGUCGAGCGAACAGAUAAGGAGCUUGCUCCUUUGACGUUAGCGGCGGACGGGUGAGUAACACGUGGGUAACCUACCUAUAAGACUGGAAUAACUCCGGGAAACCGGGGCUAAUGCCGGAUAACAUGUUGAACCGCAUGGUUCUACAGUGAAAGACGGUCUUGCUGUCACUUAUAGAUGGACCCGCGCCGUAUUAGCUAGUUGGUGAGGUAACGGCCUACCAAGGCGACGAUACGUAGCCGACCUGAGAGGGUGAUCGGCCACACUGGAACUGAGACACGGUCCAGACUCCUACGGGAGGCAGCAGUAGGGAAUCUUCCGCAAUGGGCGAAAGC